ACAUGACUUCAAACGUGUACCACUCAAGCUAAGACAACAAUGCUAGCAGAGGCGUGAGAGCGCUCCAGAAUGGGAGAAGGUUUGGGGUUACAGCUGAUGUCAAUCUUAUGUGAGUCGCACGUUCAUUGUAUCAUUAUCUUAAAAGAAAGCAUUAAAAGAAAGAGAAGAUUCACACUUGUAUGUUAAAUUUAAUGUUUAAAUAAAAGGUAAUAUGUCUCUAACCAGCGUUUUCUGUUCUUUUUGUGUUUCAGUUUGGGCUGGAGUUGUGACUAAAACAGGUGGAUCUAUUCCCAGGCCUCAGUUUACUGGGCCUAACAUGGCCUACGUCAAAUCUACACAAGUUUUUGAAUGUAAGCUGCCAGAGUGGACAUUACCUCUGACCUAUGAGCUCAUUAAAAGCCCUGGCGAGGUCCUUGAGACAGUAAUUGAUCCUCUGGGAGGCCAGCCAGUCACUUUCUAUCUGAGGGUCAACGAGAGGUCAAACGGACGGUAUAUGUGCAGAGUGAGAUUAAGAGGGCAAACCAGCACCAGCAACGCUGUGAACUUUCAAGUAUUCCUGUACAAGGUGUCCACUUAGUUCCCGAUCCUGACCCACCGGUCAUCUACGAGAUGUCAGGGUUUAACCUGCACUGUCGGGUCAGAAAGGGGACUCACCUCACUUACGUUUGGUACCACAACCAACAGGAGCUGAACUUACCCUCGGCCUUCCACCAGAUCUCUGAA
This 723-nucleotide long non-coding RNA is filed under the name Astyanax mexicanus (Mexican tetra). RNAcentral describes it as "lncRNA (ENSAMXG00005002758.1)". Lineage: Eukaryota; Metazoa; Chordata; Actinopteri; Characiformes; Acestrorhamphidae. The record is from RNAcentral.